GUCUCACUCUGCUGGUAUUGAUGGAUGGUAUAGGUCUCACACUCUGCUGGUAUUGAUGGAUGGUAUAGGUCUCACUCUGCUGGUAUUGAUGGAUGGUAUAGGUCUCACACUCUGCUGGUAUUGAUGGUUGGUAUAGGUCUCACUCUGCUGGUAUUGAUGGAUGGUAUAGGUCUCACACUGCUGGUAUUGAUGACUGGUAUAGGUCACACUCUGCUGGUAUUGAUGGCUGGUAUAGGUCUCACACUUGCUGGUAUUGAUGGAUGGUAUAGGUCUCACUCUGCUGGUAUUGAUGGAUGGUAUAGGUCUCACACUGCUGGUAUUGAUGGAUGGUAUAGGUCUCACUCUCUGCUGGUAUUGAUGGCUGGUAUAGGUCUCACUCUGAUGGUAAUGAUGGCUGGUAUAGGUCUCACACUGCUGGUAAUGAUGGCAGGUAUAGGUCUCACUCUGCUGGUAAUGAUGGCUGGUAUAGGUCUCACACUCUGCUGGUAUUGAUGGAUGGUAUAGGUCUCACUCUGCUGGUAUUGAUGGAUAGUGUAGGUCUCACUCUGCUGGUAAUGAUGGCUGGUAUAGGUCACACUCUGCUGGUAUUGAUGGAUGGUAUAGGUCUCACACUGCUGGUAAUGAUGGAUGGUAUAGGUCACACUCU
This 646-nucleotide long non-coding RNA is filed under the name Salmo salar (Atlantic salmon). RNAcentral's name for it is "lncRNA (ENSSSAG00000098160.1)". The record is from RNAcentral. Lineage: Eukaryota; Metazoa; Chordata; Actinopteri; Salmoniformes; Salmonidae.